RNAcentral lists this ribosomal RNA (305 nucleotides) under uncultured bacterium. Its description in RNAcentral is "bacterial SSU rRNA". It matches the Rfam family "Bacterial small subunit ribosomal RNA", at positions 334 to 655 of the family's 1533-position model. The record is from RNAcentral.
CAGCUCCUACGGGGCGCAGCAGUAGGGAAUUUUGCGCAAUGGGCGAAAGCCUGACGCAGCAACGCCGCGUGAUCGAGACGCCCUUCGGGGUGUAAAGAUCUGUCAGUGGGGACGAAACUUGACGGUACCCACAGAGGAAGCACCGGCUAACUCCGUGCCAGCAGCCGCGGUAAUACGGGGGGUGCAAGCGUUGUCCGGAAUCAUUGGGCGUAAAGAGUUCGUAGGCGGCACGUAAAGUCUGGUGUUAAAGGCAGAGGAUCAACUUCUGUACGGCAUUGGAUACUUGAGAGCUAGAAUGUGGUAGA